AGCGAACGCUGGCGGCAGGCCUAACACAUGCAAGUCGAACGAACCUUUCGGGGUUAGUGGCGGACGGGUGAGUAACACGUGGGAACGUGCCUUUAGGUUCGGAAUAACUCAGGGAAACUUGUGCUAAUACCGAAUGCGCCCUUCGGGGGAAAGAUUAAUCGCCUUUAGAGCGGCCCGCGUCUGAUUAGCUAGUUGGUUGAGGUAAUGGCUCACCAAGGCGACGAUCAGUAGCUGGUCUGAGAGGAUGAUCAGCCACAUUGGGACUGAGACACGGCCCAAACUCCUACGGGGGGCAGCAGUGGGGAAUCUUGCGCAAUGGGCGAAAGCCUGACGCAGCCAUGCCGCGUGAAUGAUGAAGGUCUUAGGAUUGUAAAAUUCUUUCACCGGGGACGAUAAUGACGGUACCCGGAGAAGAAGCCCCGGCUAACUUCGUG
RNAcentral lists this ribosomal RNA (434 nucleotides) under uncultured bacterium. Its description in RNAcentral is "partial 16S ribosomal RNA". It matches the Rfam family "Bacterial small subunit ribosomal RNA", at positions 29 to 507 of the family's 1533-position model. The record is from RNAcentral.